Molecule: long non-coding RNA, 2614 nt
Organism: Acinonyx jubatus (cheetah)
Lineage: Eukaryota; Metazoa; Chordata; Mammalia; Carnivora; Felidae
Exons: 2
Source: RefSeq, a predicted model, not a curated record
GCCAACUCUGGGUUUAAAGCCGGGGAUGUUUUUCUGCUACUCUCCAAAGAGUGGGUGAACGGCUCCCAGAGCUGUUGUCCGCGCGUGUGUGUGGACAAAAUGGCGCCGCGGCCUUUUUCUGCGCCCGCCAUCAUGGCUGCCUGCUGUAGGGAGGGGGAAAUGAGGCGGUGUCGAUGGGGGUGGGGAGCCUCAGGGAGUGUCUUUUUUUUUUCCAGAACUUUCCUCAUCUUUUUUCCAGCCCUGUAUUCUUUCUGACCCACGGACCGGCGUCCAGUUUAGCUUACUCAUUUAAGGACCUGAGGAAGAUGCUGCUCAAAAGGAGUAAAAAAAAUUCGGCUUAAUUACGGGAAGGCUUUGGAGCUACGAUUUCUGAUUGUUCUGUUUCCGAAGAGGCUCGUGAUGUAAUCAUUUUGAAGUCUUUGAAAAGCAUUAUAAUAAAGCCUUAUCAUUGCUGUUGUUUCUUUAAAUUUAGGAACCCUGCGUUGACCCGUUUAAUUUUAAAUAAGAACAAUGGUGCUUAAAAAAAAAAAGUCUGCUUUUGAGUAUAAGAUGCCCAAUUCUGGUGUAUCACGUAUUGUGAUUACCUCAUUUUUACUGAAACUUUAAAAAAAAUGCAAGCAUUUUGUAUUCCUUUCCACUGGAAAGAAAAGUUCUGUGUACUCCUUUUCGAAAACAAGUAGGGCUAUAAUCAUAACGAAAAAUUUAUUAUUUGCUCUUUUAUAAAAAUUACGGUUUCUGGAAUUAGGAUGGUUUCUGCACUCCCCUCCUCCAAUAUUAACCGAUUUUUGAUAAGGUUUCAAACAAUUGGAAGCCUUUUUUUAUAUUUGUGCAACUAAUCGAUGUAAUGUUUUCCUUUGUUUAGUGUUUUGGGCCUGUUAAGGUACUUUAAAUAAAGAAUAGCAUUGUUUUACUUGGGCUCAAAUUUAAAAACGAAGCCAUUUCAAACAUUUGGACCUGCAGUGCCUCGUUCAAUAAAAAGACACAGUCCCCUGGAGAAGUGGCCUAGUAUUAGAUUCACUGUACCUUCUUUGCACUGGAAAAAGAUUUGUGUACUUGGUCUUGAGCGUUAUUAGGGUUUAAAAAAAGAUAAAAAUGUUAGGAUAACUGGUGGCCUUCUGAAAAAGCAAAUGCUAGAGUAGAAGACGGCUUUGCAAUUAGCAUUUAAGAUUCUUACGUACCUCUCUGCUAAAUCGAAAUAAAGUUAAGAACUUAUCAGAGAAAUUUUAUUCAGUUGGGUUUUGUUUUUGUUUUUUGGGGUUUUUUUGGAUACUUUUUAUUAGGCUAUUACUAUAAAAUAGCUUCAUGGAAAUAAGGGCCAACUGGCUACCUAUCAUUCAUACCUGUUUAGUGUUAGGACGGUUUUUGUUCUAUAUAUUUUACAGAUGAAAAUGGCUUUUUGGUAUAAGUUAUUAGCUUCUAUUACUGGAUGUCUUCCCUUAUGCCAUGGGCAUUUGACUUCCCUAUUGCCAGGCUUCUGUGAUGCACGUAAAUAAACUUGACUGAAAACUUGUACUACCUGGGCUAGAUGCUGAUUUUUCCGUGGAAAGGUCGUUUAUAGUUCUAGCCAUGAUCUCUGAAAAAGUGAAUGACAUGUGCCAGUGGUUCUGCAGCAUGCCCCCAAGAGGAGUGAUAGCAGUGCUUAAGUUUUUGCAGUUUUACCAAGUGUAAGCUUUACUAGCACUUAACAUCACAGACAUCUCUGAAGUAGCCCAUAAGGAUAAUGAUGAGAAGGAGAAUUAAAAGAAAAUGGGAAAUGUGAAAAUCAUGAUUAACUGAUACAGCUUGAUUUAUUAGAAAGUAGAGCACAAAGAGCAUCUUAGGGGAGCUUUGCUGUAAGAUAAAGUUGAACUCGAAUCUAUGCAAUGAAAGCUUUCACCACAAAAAUUUUAUGAUUCCAGAAAUCACCCAUACAUAGAAAACUGAUGAGACCCUUGAAUGAUUCUAAGAACCUCUCCAGUAGUUAGUUGUUUCCUUUGUUUGCUUUUUUUUUUUUUAAACCAUUGUCAGAGGCUUAACACAUUUAUGUCUUUCAUCCCAACUAAGCUUGUAAAUCUUUCAGCAUUUUAUUCUUUGAGUCUAGCAUUGAGUUUGGCACAUUUGUGACUCUUCAGUAAAUAGUUGUUGAAAUAGUGCAAUUUCUCCCCCUUCAUUUGUUAAAUUACUCCCCUUUUAGUUUACUUGGCAUUUGUUUUCUGGACUAAUCUUCCUAAAGGAAGGAGAAAUUCAUUGUCAUGUGAUUUUUUUUUCUUCCUGCUGAAAAUUUAUAGUGAUUCCCUUUUUAUCCAAUUCAGAUUUUUCUGUAAAGACCAUGGUAGUAAGUAUUCUAGACAUUGUGGACAACAUACAUUUUCUGUCUGAUUUCUUAAUCUUUUUAAAAAUGUAAAAACCAUUCUUAGGUCAAGAGCCAAAUGGUCCACCUUCUGAAUACUACUGAAACGGUUUCCCCUGCCUUUUAUCAAAAUCUGAUUUGGGAACAGUUCAGGUUUUAGCUUCUUGAAGCUUUUUUCUAGGACUCAUUUAAAUCAGUGUCUUUUUUGUAUGAUGCUGCUGUUUGUAAUUUGGACUGCACAGUUAAACAGCCACAGAAAUACUUUUUUUUUUUUUAACUGGAAAU